AUUGAACGCUGGCGGCAGGCUUAACACAUGCAAGUCGAACGAGUGGCGGACGGGUGAGUAAUGCUUGGGAAUCUCGCUUAUGGAGGGGGAUAACUACGGGAAACUGUAGUAAAUACCGCGUACUAUAGGAUGAGCCCAAGUGGGAUUAGGUAGUUGGUGUGGUAGUGGCUCACCAAGCCGACGAUCUCUGGCUGGGCUGGGAGGAUGACCAGGCACACGGGGACUGGUGCACGGCCCAGACUCCUACGGGAGGCAGCAGUGGGGAAUGUUGCGCAAUGGGGGCAACCUGACGCAGCCAUGCCGCGUGAAUGAAGAAGGCCUUCGGGUUGUAAAGUUCUUUCGGUAGCGAGGCGUUAACUACAGAAGAAGCACCGGCUAACUCCGUGCCAGCAGCCGCGGUAAUUC
Molecule: ribosomal RNA, 405 nt
Filed under: uncultured bacterium
Lineage: Bacteria
Description: partial 16S ribosomal RNA
Rfam family: Bacterial small subunit ribosomal RNA
Source: RNAcentral